Molecule: ribosomal RNA, 1900 nt
Filed under: Salmonella enterica subsp. enterica serovar Typhimurium
Lineage: Bacteria; Pseudomonadati; Pseudomonadota; Gammaproteobacteria; Enterobacterales; Enterobacteriaceae
Description: partial 23S ribosomal RNA
Rfam family: Bacterial large subunit ribosomal RNA
Source: RNAcentral
GUUAAGCGACUAAGCGUACACGGUGGAUGCCCUGGCAGUCAGAGGCGAUGAAGGGCGUGCUAAUCUGCGAUAAGCGCCGGUAAGGUGAUAUGAACCGUUAUAACCGGCGAUACCCGAAUGGGGAAACCCAGUGUGAUUCGUCACACUAUCAUUAACUGAAUCCAUAGGUUAAUGAGGCGAACCGGGGGAACUGAAACAUCUAAGUACCCCGAGGAAAAGAAAUCAACCGAGAUUCCCCCAGUAGCGGCGAGCGAACGGGGAGGAGCCCAGAGCCUGAAUCAGCAUGUGUGUUAGUGGAAGCGUCUGGAAAGGCGCGCGAUACAGGGUGACAGCCCCGUACACAAAAGCGCAUGUGCUGUGAGCUCGAUGAGUAGGGCGGGACACGUGGUAUCCUGUCUGAAUAUGGGGGGACCAUCCUCCAAGGCUAAAUACUCCUGACUGACCGAUAGUGAACCAGUACCGUGAGGGAAAGGCGAAAAGAACCCCGGCGAGGGGAGUGAAAAAGAACCUGAAACCGUGUACGUACAAGCAGUGGGAGCCCCACCACUAAGCCAGUGGUGAACUCCACAUCCGCAUCCUUUGCUGAGGAUACGGUUAACGGAGCGAAAGCGACGUUCAACCGCAAAACAAGCAGAGGGGGCUUAGUGGUGGGGUGACUGCGUACCUUUUGUAUAAUGGGUCAGCGACUUAUAUUCUGUAGCAAGGUUAACCGUAUAGGGGAGCCGGAGGGAAACCGAGUCUUAACCGGGCGUUAAGUUGCAGGGUAUAGACCCGAAACCCGGUGAUCUAGCCAUGGGCAGGUUGAAGGUUGGGUAACACUAACUGGAGGACCGAACCGACUAAUGUUGAAAAAUUAGCGGAUGACCUGUGGCUGGGGGUGAAAGGCCAAUCAAACCGGGAGAUAGCUGGUUCUCCCCGAAAGCUAUUUAGGUAGCGCCUCGUGAAUUCAUCUCCGGGGGUAGAGCACUGUUUCGGCUAGGGGGCCAUCCCGGCUUACCAACCCGAUGCAAACUGCGAAUACCGGAGAAUGUUAUCACGGGAGACACACGGCGGGUGCUAACGUCCGUCGUGAAGAGGGAAACAACCCAGACCGCCAGCUAAGGUCCCAAAGUCAUGGUUAAGUGGGAAACGAUGUGGGAAGGCCCAGACAGCCAGGAUGUUGGCUUAGAAGCAGCCAUCAUUUAAAGAAAGCGUAAUAGCUCACUGGUCGAGUCGGCCUGCGCGGAAGAUGUAACGGGGCUAAACCAUGCACCGAAGCUGCGGCAGCGAACGUAUCACCCAAGACAACUUUACGGAGUUGACGAUUGACGGAGCGAAGCGACGUCAAAGCGUUCAUUAAAGUCGAGUUGGCUUAGGGAUACGUUCGUUGGGUAGGGGAGCGUUCUGUAAGCCUGUGAAGGUGUGUCGUGAGGCAUGCUGGAGGUAUCAGAAGUGCGAAUGCUGACAUAAGUAACGAUAAAGCGGGUGAAAAGCCCGCUCGCCGGAAGACCAAGGGUUCCUGUCCAACGUUAAUCGGGGCAGGGUGAGUCGACCCCUAAGGCGAGGCCGAAAGGCGUAGUCGAUGGGAAACGGGUUAAUAUUCCCGUACUUGGUGUUACUGCGAAGGGGGGACGGAGAAGGCUAUGUUGGCCGGGCGACGGUUGUCCCGGUUUAAGCGUGUAGGUGUGUGUUCCAGGUAAAUCCGGUUCACUUUAACACUGAGGCGUGACGACGAGGCACUACGGUGCUGAAGCAACAAAUGCCCUGCUUCCAGGAAAAGCCUCUAAGCAUCAGGUAACAUCAAAUCGUACCCCAAACCGACACAGGUGGUCAGGUAGAGAAUACCAAGGCGCUUGAGAGAACUCGGGUGAAGGAACUAGGCAAAAUGGUGCCGUAACUUCGGGAGAAGGCACGCUGACAC